This 505-nucleotide ribosomal RNA is filed under the name uncultured bacterium. RNAcentral's name for it is "bacterial SSU rRNA". It matches the Rfam family "Bacterial small subunit ribosomal RNA", at positions 29 to 509 of the family's 1533-position model. The record is from RNAcentral.
AACAAACGCUGGCGGCGUGCCUAACACAUGCAAGUCGUACGAGAAAGUCGGCUUCGGCCGAUGAGUACAGUGGCGCACGGGUGAGUAACGCGUGGGUAAUCUGCCCCCCGGUCAGGAAUAACCCGCCGAAAGGCGGGCUAAUACCCGAUAACACUGACGCUCUGCGGAGUGUCUUUCAAAGAAGGCCUCUGUUUACAAGCUUUCGCCGGAGGAUGAGCCCGCGUACCAUUAGCUAGUUGGCAGGGUAAUGGCCUACCAAGGCAACGAUGGUUAGCUGGUCUGAGAGGAUGGCCAGCCACACUGGAACUGAGACACGGUCCAGACUCCUACGGGAGGCAGCAGUGAGGAAUCUUGCGCAAUGGGGGAAACCCUGACGCAGCAACGCCGCGUGAGUGAGGAAGGUUUUCGGACCGUAAAGCUCUGUCGAGCGGGAAGAAAUGUAUCGUGGCUAAUAUCCAUGAUAUUUGACGGUACCGCUAAAGGAAGCACCGGCUAACUCCGUGCC